AUUGAACGCUGGCGGCAGGCCUAACACAUGCAAGUCGAACGAGUGGCGGACGGGUGAGUAAUGUAUGGGAAACUGCCCGAUGGAGGGGGAUAACUACUGGAAAAGGUAGCUACUACAGCAUACGAUCGGAUGUGGCCAGAUGGGAUGAGCUAGUAGGUGGGGUAACGGCGCACCUAGGCGAAGAUCCCUAGCUGGUCGGAGAGGCUGACCGGCCACACUGGAACUGAGACACGGUCCAGACUCCUACGGGAGGCAGCAGUGGGGAAGAUUGCACAAUGGGCGCAAGCCUGAUGCAGCCAUGCCGCGUGUAUGAAGAAGGCCUUCGGGUUGUAAAGUACUUUCAUCGGGGAGGCGUUACCCGCAGAAGAAGCACCGGCUAACUCCGUGCCAGCAGCCGCGGUAAUUC
RNAcentral lists this ribosomal RNA (406 nucleotides) under uncultured bacterium. RNAcentral's name for it is "partial 16S ribosomal RNA". It matches the Rfam family "Bacterial small subunit ribosomal RNA", at positions 29 to 526 of the family's 1533-position model. The record is from RNAcentral.